RNAcentral lists this long non-coding RNA (279 nucleotides) under Mytilus galloprovincialis (Mediterranean mussel). The record is from RNAcentral. Lineage: Eukaryota; Metazoa; Mollusca; Bivalvia; Mytilida; Mytilidae.
CACACUUACACAUAGGCUAUAAGCCAUACGUCAAUUUUUACACUUACAUAACACAAAUAUAAACUUUCAGUAUUCAUUCGAUCGCCAGAUGAUAUCAUUUAUUCUUCUAGAGCGAUUACUCAGUAAUACUUAUGUGAAAAAAAUAUACCAACGAUUAUCAAAGUGCCUUUUGAUUAAUUAUUACUCAAGGUGGAUUCAUGAUAUACAGCCAUCUUGGGUUGUACAAUCGCAGUUUAAAAUGGGUCUAGUUCUUUGAUCAAAUCUUCAAAUUUGGAAACC